AAUGUAGUAAACCCCUUGUUAACUGGUAUUUUCAGUUCCUUAUUUUUGUUCACUUCCGUUCUUCUUCUUCUCACGUUUUCUCUCUUUCCCUCCUGCGAAAACUCAAAGAAGAACGUAAAAUGAAAUUCUCUUGCAUGUGUUUAGCUUCAUAGAUUAUAGUUACAAUGUGCUGUAAUAUUGAUUUGGGUUGGCUGAUUUGAUACACGGCAUGGAAUAAUUCUUCUUUUCCGUUCUUCAACUGGAAGCUCGUUGAAGAAAUCAUUCUCUUUACUCAAAGAUCAAGGUCAAGUACUACUAUUGGUAGUGGUAAUAUCAACGUCAAAUCGGGAUUAUCUUUAAUUUACCACGGUAAUCAUUCUUAUCCCGUAUUGAGCAUGUCUAAACGGUUAAUCAGUGAAAGUAGUAGUUGUAGAGGUAAGGAACCAAUAGUUGCAGCAGAAAGAAAAAUUUCGACAAGAAUUUAGGAUGAAUUGGUCAACAUUUGAUUUUAUAUGUAAUGAAUUACAACCAUUUUCAAUAACCAACACGAAAAAAGUUUCAACUAGUGAUUUUCGUAUAAAUGUAGCAGCACUCAUUUGGAAUUUAUUUUAGGUCAACCAAAUAAGGAUGUGGAAGCCAAGUUUGGCUUAACGUAUACACAAUGUCUUGUGAGUUUAAAUGCAUUUGUGGGAUCUUUGAUGCGAAAGUAUGUUAAGUGGCCCGAUGAAAGUGAAAUGGUUAACAUAAAAAACGAGUUUGAAAGAGUUUCUGGACUAGAAAACGUCGUAGGUUGAAUUAAUACAACUCGUAUCCAAAUAGCUAGACCGAAUUAAUACUAUGAUGAUCAACUUUCUGCAUGUAAUUCAGGACAUAUUUCAUAUUCAAUUGCUUUACAAGUAGUAGUCCAUCACAAGGGCGUGUUGACGAAUAUUUUUGUCGGUCAACCUGGUUCGUUGGAUGAUUACCAUGUUUAUCAAAGAUCCCCUCUAUGCAACAGGGAUUUACAAGGUUCUUGGAUAGCUAGUACUGACAAGUUCCGUUGACGGAUAAAAUUUUAGCUCCCUACAUAGAUUAGCCUAAUCUGACUCCGACACAGGACAUUUGACACUCAACUUUAUCAGAUUGAAUCAAUAGAAAGAGAAGCUUGUUUAAGAUUGAAGUCAAGGUGGCUAAUUCUAAAAAGAGAAACAGAUCAUCCUAAUUUAGAAACCAUAGAGGAAACUGUCAAAGCAUGUUGCACCCUUCAUAAUAUCUGUGCCAUUAAAGACGACAACAUAAGCCCGAGAUGGAGAUCGAGAGUGGAGGAUAACCUUAUCAUCCCUGAACCACCUGUUUUGUCAGAAGAUGCAAGUAACAAAAGAGAUGCACUUGCUGAAGAUCUUGCUAAGAAACUAGCAUCAGACUUGUAGCUUCGUUUGAAUAUCUGAACUCUGUUGUGAAAGUUUCUUAAUCAACAGAACGUGGUGCAGACUUUGAAGACGGACAACAAUUUAAUUGGGAGGUCUCUGAUGCUACUCAAUAAAAUGUCAAAUCCUUUCUUGGGCCAAAAUCAGCAUUCAGUUUUUUUAUCACCUUAAUAUGUAUGUAAUGUAGCUACUACUAGCCGUUCAGUUCCUUGUGUUUUCUGCUCUCUCCUUUUCUUUUUUCACCUUAGUGUGCUUCUUGCAAGUACAAUUAUAUAAUAAAUAAAUGAAUUAUAUGCACUGUUUGU
Long non-coding RNA from Papaver somniferum (opium poppy), 1690 nucleotides. RefSeq lists it as uncharacterized. Lineage: Eukaryota; Viridiplantae; Streptophyta; Magnoliopsida; Ranunculales; Papaveraceae. The record is from RefSeq and is a predicted model, not a curated record. The transcript has 3 exons.